Thalassophryne amazonica is the source of this 225-nucleotide long non-coding RNA. RefSeq lists it as uncharacterized. The record is from RefSeq and is a predicted model, not a curated record. The transcript is spliced from 3 exons. Lineage: Eukaryota; Metazoa; Chordata; Actinopteri; Batrachoidiformes; Batrachoididae.
UGCUUUGACUCCUGGGAACACCCUACGUAAAUAGUCACACAUCACUCAUUCACUCAUCUUCAAACACUUAUCCAGGAUCGGGUCGCACGUGCAACAGCUCCAGCAGGGGACCCCAGACUUCCCUUUCAUGGGCCACAAUGAUCACCUCUGACUGGGCGAUCCUGAGGCAUUCCCAGGCCACUGUGGAGAUAUAAACUCUCCACCUAGCCACAGGAGUUAGUGUUA